Non-coding RNA from Bactrocera oleae (olive fruit fly), 2676 nucleotides. The record is from RefSeq and is a predicted model, not a curated record. Lineage: Eukaryota; Metazoa; Arthropoda; Insecta; Diptera; Tephritidae.
GCAAAUUUUGUUACACGACAAAGCACCUGCACACAAAGCAAAAUCGGUUGAGGAUACAAUCGAAGUACUUGUCUGGGAGCUGCUACCCCACCCGCCGUAUUCGCCAGACACGCAUUUGCUGAGCUGCACUUCGAUUCCUAAGCAGAAGUCGAAAAUUAGGUGUCUGAUUGGUUUGUUCCAAAAGGAUAACAUUUCUAUGGGUAUGUUAUCCAUAAAUUGCCAGAAAGGUAGACAAAUAGUGUAAAAAGCAGUGGUCAAUACUUAAAUAUUUUUUUUUGCUUUCUCAUUCAAAAUUAUUAUUUCAUUUUCUUAAAAAAAAGAGUAACAACGUUUAAGUUUCCGAAUAUAAUGUAAAUAUUCCUUUGAAAUCGAGCGCUCUUGCAACCAGAAAGGAAUUUCAAAAGAAAAAGGAAUGUCGAAUUGCGUGCCAACGAGCUGUUACGGAAAAGAACUCUAAGCAUGCGAUACGAGCACUAGCGGCACGGACUCCUCAUAUUUUCUCGUCGUCCCUCCGCCUACGAAAACCGGUUUUUUGCGGCAAUAAGAGACCUUGUCUGAACAAGCACAUACAUAGCUCAUGACGAUUGACCAGUUUUACGUCGUCACAAUUCCAGUUUUGUGAACUGAUUUCCCCACGCAUUCAUAAUAAUCAAACUAUCUGUAGGUAAGCUAACCACAACUUGUUGAAAACGGUUCUGUCACUAAAAGCUAUCAUCCAGUUAAGCUACCAGCGGUUAGGGAUAAUAUUAAAUAUUUCCUAGACAUAUAGCGGGAGUAUGAUACUGCACUGUGAAUAAUUCUUCAAAAUAAAAAGACGGAUCACUUUUAAUCAAGUAGAAGUUUUCAUGUUGUUCCUUUUGCGCAUAGUUCUUCAUUAAAUAAAAAAUGAAAAAAAAAUGUUUAAGCGAUUAAGCAAAUUGAAUUUGUCUAAGAAAAUUAUUUGUAUUUUUUACAAACAUUGCUUUUUGAAAAAAUUACUAAUAUCAAAUAUAAGAGGACAUUUUCACUCAUAAUCGUACUGCAUAUAAGCGAAAUCGAUUCGGUUUGUUUAAAGAAUAUAAAUACAUAUGUACCGUGGUCGUGUAAAAAGUAAUAAUAACAAUAACCCUCGAAAUUGAAAAAUCGUCAAAGUUGUAUAUUUUAGUUAUAGGGUAGAACCAAAAAACGUUUAUUGUACAAGAAAAGCUCGACCAUUGAAAAGUACAAAAAGUACAAGUACACUUGGGACAUUUUAUCUCAUAUGUGAUAUGAACUCAACCGAAGGUGCUAACCUUGAUAAUAUUGGGUAUAUGAGAAUAGCACCAAACAAAUAAUCAGAAGUUAUGAUAUUAGUCAUUAUUCAUAUUCAGUGAUAAACCAUCUUAUGCUUGAGAGAUCCACUUUGAGCCGGUUUCCUAAUACUCGGUUAAUAUUGCUCUUGACCUCUGGUAGCUCAACUCGACGAUAGGUUUAACUGACAGACAGUUUAAUUAUUGUUAAUGUGUGUGGAAGACAGUUCACAAAACUUGCAUUGUGAAUACGCAAAAGUUAUAUAAACGUCAUGGGCCAUGUAAAUUAAUUUAAAAAAAAAGAGCAACAAUAAAAGAUAUACUGGGGUGUUGUGGAAUCCAAUACAGAUUUGCUUAGCUGUCAGAAUUGCAAAUUAGUUCUGAUCUUCAAUGGUGUCGCAGAAUCUGAUUGGGGACUGCUACAUGUUUAAUAUGUAUUGACCGCGAUACAGGUUCGCGAUAUUUAUAGGACGUCCUUACAAGACGGAUGUAACCAAUUUACCACUACAUUUGUAAAAUUUCCUUUCGUCCACUACUACAUAUUCGAAACUAACUUUUUGUUUUUAAACGGAAAAUUCUGUUGUAAGAGUAGCAACAUUCAUCAUGCAUAAUUUAUCAAUGCGUAAGAAUGAGAUGCACAAAUAAAUUAAUCAUUUUCCAUCGACAAUGGCCGACAUUAUUUGGAGAAAAUUUUUGACGUAAGCGCUAUUUUUUUGAUAUGCUCGAUAAAUUUUAUAGUAUUUUAUUUUGUUUUGUAGAUUCAAAAGACGUUUACAAAGAAGAUAAGUUUUUGAAUUUUAUGUUUUUCUUAAAGAAUUGAUUAAAUAUAAUUGCAGAGAGAGAAAAACUCUCAAUGUGCUGCCCGAGCUGGAAAUCGAUUGAUAUUUUUCUCAAUGAUGAUUCCAAGGUUGUAUUGCCUUGUAAUUUGCAACGCAUGAUUUAGAACGCGCGAAAGAUUUUCCAUAUCAAUAAGCGCAUGUCCACAGAUCUGUCGCCGCUAUGAGUAAUUAACGACGUACUCAAUUUCUUGCAGGGCUGUGUCAUUGUGGUGGGCAACGUCCAUCUUUCGAAACAGGCCAAUGAGACACUCAACACUUUCCAUUUAGCUGGUGUGUCGUCAAAUAACGUUACACUGUUGCUACGUAUCAAAUUGAAAUAUUCCAAGUGUUAAGCGUAGAGGUAGUGCGCAAAUCGCUUAAGACGGAAAUUAAUGGUAUGCUGUAGAUCUACGGCCUUGCUAUGUAAUAGCAGCUUACUGAUUACAAGUAAGUAAAUUAUAGAACUCUUUUAGAUGUUAUACCUAUAUAAUUGAGGCCAUACAUCGGCAUUAUAUAUAUAUAAUAUAUAACUAGGGUCGCUAGUGGUCGAAAUUCAAGCAAUAAAAAAUACAAUUUAUUAACAACGUUAA